ACUUUUAACAAUGGAUCUCUUGGCUCUCACAUCGAUGAAGAACACAGUGAAAUGUGAUAAGUAAUGUGAAUUGCAGAAUUCAGUGAAUCAUCGAAUUUUUGAACGCAUAUUGCGCCUUUUGGCUAUUCCAAAAGGUACACCUGUUUGAGAGUA
This 153-nucleotide ribosomal RNA is filed under the name Hemileia vastatrix. RNAcentral's name for it is "5.8S ribosomal RNA". It matches the Rfam family "5.8S ribosomal RNA". From Rfam's summary of the family: 5.8S ribosomal RNA (5.8S rRNA) is a component of the large subunit of the eukaryotic ribosome. The record is from RNAcentral. Lineage: Eukaryota; Fungi; Basidiomycota; Pucciniomycetes; Pucciniales; Zaghouaniaceae.